GUCGCUUCUCGGCCUUUUGGCUAAGAUCAAGUGUAGAAAGUGAUCUGAAAUCCAAAGAUUUGUACACAAAGAUAAUGAAAAUAAUAUUAUUUAUAAUAACAGACAUUAA
RNAcentral lists this small nuclear RNA (109 nucleotides) under Balaenoptera musculus (blue whale). RNAcentral's name for it is "U2 spliceosomal RNA (ENSBMSG00010001195.1)". It matches the Rfam family "U2 spliceosomal RNA". Rfam says of the family: U2 is a small nuclear RNA (snRNA) component of the spliceosome (involved in pre-mRNA splicing). Complementary binding between U2 snRNA (in an area lying towards the 5' end but 3' to hairpin I) and the branchpoint sequence (BPS) of the intron results the bulging out of an unpaired adenosine, on the BPS, which initiates a nucleophilic attack at the intronic 5' splice site, thus starting the first of two transesterification reactions that mediate splicing. The record is from Rfam by way of RNAcentral. Lineage: Eukaryota; Metazoa; Chordata; Mammalia; Artiodactyla; Balaenopteridae.